Molecule: long non-coding RNA, 265 nt
Organism: Apis dorsata (giant honeybee)
Lineage: Eukaryota; Metazoa; Arthropoda; Insecta; Hymenoptera; Apidae
Exons: 3
Source: RefSeq, a predicted model, not a curated record
GAGAAUCGCGAGAGAAAAAAAAAAAUCAUGUUUCGCGUAAUCUAUUCGAUUUUGCGUUCGUUCAUUUGAUUUUUGAUUUUUUCAUAAAAUAAUAAUAAUAAUCGUAUGAAUUUUUCCUAAAUAUCUGGAUAUGAGAAAUCCGCGAGUCAUUCAUGCAUAGACAGACUUACCUAAGAUAGGUAUUUUUAAGCGCUAUUUAUUUAAUCUACUAUACGUAAUAAUUUUUUUUUUUUUUUUUUUUUUUUUUUUUUUUUUUUUUUUUUUU